This is a long non-coding RNA of Spinacia oleracea (spinach), 538 nucleotides long. RefSeq lists it as uncharacterized. The record is from RefSeq and is a predicted model, not a curated record. The transcript is spliced from 2 exons. NCBI's taxonomy places the organism in Eukaryota, Viridiplantae, Streptophyta, Magnoliopsida, Caryophyllales, Amaranthaceae.
ACUUUGGUCUUGACGAAGUUUAAACGAAUUUAUAUUGCUGGAAAUUUAAAGUAUAAUGUUUGCGAAGAGUUUUCAACGAAUUUCAAUCACUAAUUCAAUAAUUAUGAUGCUAGGAAAUCAAAUGUGCACGUUUCAAUGUUACGGAAUGUUCUAAAUAUGUUUAGGAUGUAUUUAGAAUGCUUUGUUAUUGUUGUGAGUGAUUAGAAGUUGAUUGGGAAUAUUUGUUGGUUGUUUUAGGCGGAGAAUUCUCUUUAGGCGACUUCUGAAAGUGUUAAAGUGGCCUAUUAGUUUGUUUACACAAGUCUCUAAGGAUCAAUAAGCGUUGCCCAUCUACAGGUUUGAAGAUGAUGCAUCAUUGGGAUCGGGAUUAGAGAGCUUAUAGUUCUAUUUGUUUAAUUAAGUGAUUUAAUUUGUUAACUUAUAUUUGAAAGUUGUCGUACUAUUCGUAUUUCUUUAUUUCCGUUAAUUGGUUUUGGACUUAAUAUGUAAUCAAUUAUUUAUGAACCUAAAAGUUAGUUUUAUGUUUUCCGCUGCAAAA